CCUACGGGUGGCAGCAGUGAGGAAUAUUGGUCAAUGGACGAGAGCCUGAACCAGCCAAGUAGCGUGAAGGAUGAAGGCCCUAUGGGUGGUAAACUUCUUUUAUAGGGGAAUAAAAUGUGGCACGUGUGGGAUUUUGUAUGUACCAUAUGAAUAAGGAUCGGCUAACUCCGUGCCAGCAGCCGCGGUAAUACGGAGGAUCCGAGCGUUAUGCGGAUUUAGUGGGUUUAAAGGGCGCGUAGGGGGAUUGUUAAGUCAGUUGUGAAAGUUUGCGGCUCAACCGUAAAAUUGCAGUUGAAACUGGCAUUCUUGAGUACGGUAGAGGUGGGCUGAAUUCGUGGUGUAGCGGUGAAAUCCUU
RNAcentral lists this ribosomal RNA (356 nucleotides) under uncultured bacterium. Its description in RNAcentral is "partial 16S ribosomal RNA". It matches the Rfam family "Bacterial small subunit ribosomal RNA", at positions 338 to 691 of the family's 1533-position model. The record is from RNAcentral.